AUAAACGAUCAGGUUGAGAGGUGAGCAGAGGUGAAACUGAAGAGGUGACUCAACAAAGGCCUUUUAAAUCACAUUAAGGCCUUGAACCUGAAGGCAGCAGAGUAACAUUGAAAUGUUCUAACUCAAGAGUAACAUCACAUUAUAGGAUUGCCUUUCUGGAACCAUAAUUUUCACUGCAGUGUGGCGAAUAGGCUGAAAGAGAGGGAGGAAGACCAGAAGGGAAGCUAUCGAACAUACCAGCAGGAGGAAAAUAUGUGGCUGUUAAAUCAAGUUAAGCCAUCACUACAUGAAGUGCUUAUCCCCAUGAACAACUAAUGGAUUACAUGGUUCAAAUGACUACAAACUAAACUCACUAAAAAGGCAAAAUAAAAUUAAAAA
This is a non-coding RNA of Equus caballus (horse), 378 nucleotides long. NCBI's taxonomy places the organism in Eukaryota, Metazoa, Chordata, Mammalia, Perissodactyla, Equidae. The record is from RefSeq and is a predicted model, not a curated record.